This 400-nucleotide ribosomal RNA is filed under the name uncultured bacterium. RNAcentral's name for it is "bacterial SSU rRNA". It matches the Rfam family "Bacterial small subunit ribosomal RNA", at positions 355 to 747 of the family's 1533-position model. The record is from RNAcentral.
UCGAGAAUCAUUCGCAAUGGGCGAAAGCCUGACGAUGCGACGCCGUGUGAGCGAAGAAGGCCUUCGGGUCGUAAAGCUCUUUCGCCUGGGAACAAGAGAUUGUGGCUAAUAGUCACGAGAUUUGAGGGUACCAGGUAAAGAAGCACCGGCUAACUCCGUGCCAGCAGCUGCGGUAAUACGGAGGGUGCAAGCAUUAAUCGGAUUUAUUGGGCGUAAAGGGCGCGUAGGCGGUGAGAUAAGUCAGAUGUGAAAUCCUGGGGCUCAACCUCAGAACUGCAUUUGAAACUAUCUUUCUAGAGGGUAGGAGGAGAAAACGGAAUUCCACAAGUAGCGGUGAAAUGCAUAGAUAUGUGGAAGAACACCGGUGGCGAAGGCGGUUUUCUAUCUUAUUCCUGACGCU